This 336-nucleotide ribosomal RNA is filed under the name uncultured eukaryote. Its description in RNAcentral is "SSU rRNA". It matches the Rfam family "Eukaryotic small subunit ribosomal RNA", at positions 616 to 958 of the family's 1831-position model. The record is from RNAcentral.
CAGUUAAAAAGCUCGUAGUUGGAUUUCGGAGUGGGCCAGUUGGUCCGCCGCAAGGUGUGUUACUGACUGGUCUGCUCUUCUUCGCAAAGACUGCGUGUGCUCUUUGUUGAGUGUGCGUAGGAUUUACGACGUUUACUUCGAAAAAAUUAGAGUGUUCAAAGCAGGCUAUUGCUUGAAUACAUGAGCGUGGAAUAAUGGAAUAGGACUUUGGUCCCAUUUUGUUGGUUUCUAGGACCGAAGUAAUGAUUAAGAGGGACAAUUGGGGGCAUCCGUAUUUCGUUGUCAGAGGUGAAAUUCUUGGAUUUACGAAAGACGAACCAACUGCGAAAGCCUUGC